This 301-nucleotide ribosomal RNA is filed under the name uncultured bacterium. Its description in RNAcentral is "partial 16S ribosomal RNA". It matches the Rfam family "Bacterial small subunit ribosomal RNA", at positions 509 to 809 of the family's 1533-position model. The record is from RNAcentral.
CAGCAGCCACGGGAAUACGUAGGGUGCGAGCGUUAAUCGGAAUUACUGGGCGUAAAGCGUGCGCAGGCGGUUGUGUAAGACAGGUGUGAAAUCCCCGGGCUUAACCUGGGAACUGCGCUUGUGACUGCACAGCUAGAGUAUGGCAGAGGGGGGUGGAAUUCCACGUGUAGCAGUGAAAUGCGUAGAGAUGUGGAGGAACACCGAUGGCGAAGGCAGCCCCCUGGGCCAAUACUGACGCUCAUGCACGAAAGCGUGGGGAGCAAACAGGAUUAGAUACCCGCGUAGUCCCUGUCUCUUAUAA